This 65-nucleotide transfer RNA is filed under the name Tropidomya abbreviata. RNAcentral's name for it is "tRNA-Gly". The record is from RNAcentral. Lineage: Eukaryota; Metazoa; Mollusca; Bivalvia; Poromyidae.
GUUUUUGUAGUAUAAUUAAGUAUUGGGGUUUUCCAAACCUUAGGUUUUCGGGUGAAGCAAGAAUA